AUUAUCAAGAAACUGUUAGCAAAUAAGCCCAUAUUACCGACAUAAAGAGGCCACCACGUUCGCUACCAUCGAAACACCCCUUGCAUUAUACCGACAAACGAGAAAGCCGAAAACUCUAAAUGUCAUGAGAUGGCAACAUUGCGAGCGACUGUCACUCAUACAAGCGCACGCAUCGAAUGAUCAACGAAAGAUCGAGAACACGGAUCAUUCUUCAUCAGCCGCCAUCGCGAAAAGAGCGAUAAGUAACGCGUGUGAAAAUUUGUGUCCGGAAAGCGGAUUUGAGUUCCCGGAAAGACGUUGUUUCCCAACGGAACAACCAACAUCCUCGACAGGACUGUCGAUAUUGCCACCACACGAACAAAUUUGCCUUGAUUGCUGGCCGAAUACAACGACGGGGACACGUUUGAGGGAGGUUCGCGCAAAACCGCAUGGUGGACUAAUAAUUCGCCGGAGCGGAAUUUGACCGCAGGAACACCCACAACCUCACAGCAAACCCAUCCGUCGUCGAUCGCUCAACAAAGCCUAAUUCUCGGCAAAAAACCACCAGGGCCGGUGACGGCAAAAGGACCAUUUCCAAGGAUAUCACGCUAAUUGACCGCAGGAACUUCAACAUCUCGCAGCAAAACUUCAUCGUCGAUUGCUCAAGGCCCUUUCUCCGACAGAAAACCACCAGGACCGUUGAGUCACAAGGACCGUUUCCGGAAGAACUAUCCAGCGGACAUCUUCACUGACAGUCCGAAUCCGGAGGCCACAACGUAGACGCAGACAGAGCCGAUUGUCGAGGGCAAGCAAUAACGAACGAGAGGGCGCAAGCAUAAUUCAUCGGUACUGACCAGUCGUGACGACGGUGUGCCUUGAACGUGCUGACAUCGAUUGCAAAUUGCACGUGCACAACGGGUGUGCAAAGAACAAGUGCUUCGCAGGGAACAACACAAGCCACGGAAAACCCCUUUACAGGGGUUUUUCUCCUAUAUUUACAGUUUUUCACCACAAACUGCGGUGGUCCGGCUGAAGCGAUCCACGGACGGUCUCCAAUUGCAUCCAUACUCAGCACGCAGUUCUAAAGCACACUCCGAUCUCAGUUGGCAUUCGCACCGCGACGUUCGAAGGACCCAGAGAUGGAUGGAGCUCAGCAAAAGUCGACCGCGCAGUCGGUCACGAAAAUGUCGGCGGGGUUCUUAGCGAUGGUGGCCCAUUAGCUCCGGUACCGUGAGUACCAACACCCUUAGGUUAAGCAAAAUUUGUAAGGGGAAUGUACGUUAGAGUUAGACCCACUAGCUAGAGCAGGAACUAGGGGGGAAAGAUGAUCAUGUCGUUCAAUAUAAGUAUUUAAAAUGCAACUUCUGGUUUAUGUGAUUUGAGUUGAGCUUUAGCCCUUCAGUGUUUGUGACUUUGAUCCUUUGAGCUUUCCGCUUCGGUAGUCUAGCUCUACCUCCACCGGGAAACUUG
Molecule: long non-coding RNA, 1449 nt
Filed under: Aedes aegypti (yellow fever mosquito)
Lineage: Eukaryota; Metazoa; Arthropoda; Insecta; Diptera; Culicidae
Description: lncRNA AAEL020241
Source: RNAcentral